This is a long non-coding RNA of Myxocyprinus asiaticus (Chinese sucker), 1006 nucleotides long. RefSeq lists it as uncharacterized. The transcript is spliced from 2 exons. The record is from RefSeq and is a predicted model, not a curated record. Lineage: Eukaryota; Metazoa; Chordata; Actinopteri; Cypriniformes; Catostomidae.
CAGAACAGCACGUGGAGUUGGAAGCAUGGUUUACCUGCUGUGCUCAUACAAUUCAAGAGUCCUUGUUGAGAAAUGACUAUUAUAAGUUAAGCUGAAUAAGGUCUUCAAGUUUCGUUCAAAGUACAUGCAAGUUACCUUCAGUUUAUGUGCUUGUUACCUUCUGCUUCUCUCAAAUCUGGAUUUCCAACCUGCCAUGAACUUUGGCUAUGAGUCAUGGAAUCACCUUGGUUGAGAGGAUUAACUUUUGCUUGAGGAUAUCUGCUAUUUUGGGCACUACUUCAGUACAGGACUUCAACCUGCAUCAGAUAAGACUACUACACUCACUGAAUUACUCACUAUUUACAGUGUUCAACUGUGAACACUGAAAUGUUUAAUACUGGAUUCAGUAGACUGGACAUAAUACACUCAUUCAUUGCUUUGACUUUUGUCAUGUUUAUUUUCAUGUACGUUUUGUUUGCAUUGAGAUGGAUUGUUUAUAAUGUUUAUAAUUUCUUUUUGGUUUCUUAAUCAAAUUCUAUAUAAAAGACCAUGGUAUUCAUUCAUGUGGCAUUCAUAUUUCUUAUGUUUAAUGGACAACGUAAAAUGCUAUAGGUCUCCACUUUCUCAAUGUAUAGCUGAUUUUGAGUUUAAAAAGACACAAGACAGUUAUAGCAUUCAUUUGAAUUGAGUGAGGAUUUAUGGGUAGUGUGCAGGAGAGUGUUAAGUCAUUCUUUUUAUUAUUUAUUUACUCUUACUAGAGAGAAACUUUUUUGCAAUGACUUUCAAGCAACUGUAUUGAAGAUUCUUUUAGUGGAUGUAAAAAGUCAGUUCCCCUCAAGUUGCCAAAGAUGUCCUAACCACAGGUGGAGUUCAGCACAUUAACUGUUUUCACAAAUGUUUGACUACCUGAAUGUGUUAAAAUACAUUUUGUCUAUUAUGAACAAUCUAUUGUUACAUCUACUGAAACCUUACAAACUGUUUUGCUUGACAAUUGUGCUAUCUUUAAAAUAAAUGGCACUUUAUUUUA